Molecule: ribosomal RNA, 536 nt
Filed under: uncultured marine eukaryote
Lineage: Eukaryota
Description: SSU rRNA
Rfam family: Eukaryotic small subunit ribosomal RNA
Source: RNAcentral
UCGGUAAUUCCAGCUCCAAUAGCGUAUAUUAAAGUUGUUGCAGUUAGAAUGCUCGUAGUCGGAUUUCGGGGCGGGACGACCGGUCUGCCGAUGGGUACGCACUGGCCGUCGCGUCCUUCCUUCCGGAGACCGCGCCUACUCUUAACUGAGCGGGUGCGGGAGACGGAUCGUUUACUUUGAAAAAAUCAGAGUGUUUCAAGCAGGCAGCUCGCUCUUGCAUGGAUUAGCAUGGGAUAAUGAAAUAGGACUUUGGUGCUAUUUUGUUGGUUUCGAACACCGAAGUAAUGAUUAAAAGGGACAGUCAGGGGCACUCGUAUUCCGCCGAGAGAGGUGAAAUUCUCAGACCAGCGGAAGACGAACCACUGCGAAAGCAUUUGCCAGGGAUGUUUUCACUGAUCAAGAACGAAAGUUAGGGGAUCGAAGAGGAUCAGAUACCCUCGUAGUCUUAACCAUAAACCAUGCCGACUAGGGAUUGAAGGAUGUUCACACUUGACUCCUCCAGCACCUUACGGGAAACUAAAGUCUUUGGGUUCCGG